This 81-nucleotide microRNA precursor is filed under the name Gorilla gorilla gorilla (western lowland gorilla). RNAcentral describes it as "miRNA (ENSGGOG00000037019.1)". Lineage: Eukaryota; Metazoa; Chordata; Mammalia; Primates; Hominidae. The record is from RNAcentral.
UAUUAAAUUGGUGCAAAAGUAAUUGCAGUUUUUGCUAUUGUUUUCAAUGGCAAAAACUGCAAUUACUUUUGCACCAACCUA